This 379-nucleotide ribosomal RNA is filed under the name uncultured eukaryote. RNAcentral's name for it is "partial 18S ribosomal RNA". It matches the Rfam family "Eukaryotic small subunit ribosomal RNA", at positions 592 to 976 of the family's 1831-position model. The record is from RNAcentral.
CAAUAGCGUAUAUUUAAGUUGUUGCAGUUAAAAAGCUCGUAGUUGGAUUUCGGGUAGGAUUUGCCGGUCCGUCUUUGAGAUGUGUACUGGUAAGUCCUAUCUUCUUGUCGGGGACCAGCUCCUGGGCUUCACUGUCCAGGACUGGGAGCCGACGAAGUUACUUUGAGUAAAUUAGAGUGUUCAAAGCAAGCCUACGCUCUGAAUAUAUUAGCAUGGAAUAACACGAUAGGACUCUGGCUUAUCUUGUUGGUCUGUGAGACCAGAGUAAUGAUUAAGAGGGACAGUCGGGGACAUUCGUAUUUCAUUGUCUGAGGUGAAAUUCUUGGAUUUAUGAAAGACGAACUUCUGCGAAAGCAUUUGUCAAGGAUGUUUUCAUUAA